AUGCAAAUCCCAUUAAACUAUAACUCAUUUGAUGACUUUAUAGCAUGGCACCUAGAUCGGAAAGGUCAAUUUUCUGUCCGUAUAGCAUACCGUAUUCAGUGGCUUCGAAGUUUUGGGGCACAGGCAACCGUGUUGGCCCAACCAAGUAGAUCAAACACAUCAGCUGUGUGGAGUAUUCUAUGGAAGCUUUGUAUUCCACGUAAAAUCCAGAUUUUUUGCUGGCGAGCGCUGCACGGAAUUUUACCUCUGAAAUCCAUCCUUGCUAACAGACGCAUAGGUACUAAUGGAGCAUGUACAAUCUGUCAUCAUGGGGCUGAAGAUAUAAAGCACUUGUUGUUUGACUGUGUCCAUGAAAUGGAACUCUGGAGCCGUCUCGGCAUUUCGGAAACAAUCAAUGAUGCCCUGAUUGUGGAUCGUUCGGGCUCUGUUAUCCUAGAACAUUUAUUCCUUCAAGGACCUAGCCCUGUUCCUCUGAAACCUAAUCUAGAUGUCAGACAAAUCAUAGCGGUGGGGAGUUGGUACCUAUGGUGGAUCCGC
RNAcentral lists this ribosomal RNA (537 nucleotides) under Triticum aestivum (bread wheat). RNAcentral's name for it is "partial small subunit ribosomal RNA". The record is from RNAcentral. Lineage: Eukaryota; Viridiplantae; Streptophyta; Magnoliopsida; Poales; Poaceae.